This is a long non-coding RNA of Canis lupus familiaris (dog), 737 nucleotides long. RefSeq lists it as uncharacterized. The transcript is spliced from 3 exons. The record is from RefSeq and is a predicted model, not a curated record. NCBI's taxonomy places the organism in Eukaryota, Metazoa, Chordata, Mammalia, Carnivora, Canidae.
UGAUCUCACAACUCUGAGAUUGUGACCUGAGCUGAAACCAAGAGUUGGCACUCAACCAACUGAGCCACCCAGGCAAGGUCACCUGGGUGAUAGCUAUUUAUAUUACUGGUUAAUUUUUCCUAAAGCUAGGUUACCUCCUAAGAACUUCAAAGAGUCAGGCAAAUCAGAGUCCAAUAAGUGUCUAUAUACUGCCUCUUGUGAUUAGUAUGAUUGGACCAGAUAGAGAAAUCUAAAGAUCAGCAUAGAUCUAAAUUAAAUAGCUUCAGUGCUGAUGUCAUCAAUCCCUGAUGCCUCUGUGCCUUCUUCUACCACACCCCCUAUUUGUAAAGCAGGAAGAGGGACAAAAAUGGAAAACUAGGAUGAGCAAGUCCCACCAGAGUUCCUUCUGUCUUCUGCCCAGAGAGCGAUAGCAGCAACUUGCUCAUGGAGUCUCAAGUUUUAAUCUUGAAGAAUAUGACCUAACUUCUUUGGGAUCUGGAAGUUGGCAGGGAGCAUCUUAUUCUAUUUCCGCUUUCUCACGGAUGACGUUUCUGGAAUCAGAUAUGCUCAAUUUGGCUCCUCAAUUUGCAAUCCUCAAAGGAGAGAGGCCAGAUGAUGCAGUCUGGCAGACUUUUCUGCCCUUCUUUGCUUCAAAAUUAAAAAUGUGUGUGUAUGUGCAUAUUUGAGCGCAUACACAGUUUGCGGAUCUGAGGUAUGGGUAUUGUGGCCUGGCCCUCGUCCCGCCACUAACUAGCUGC